RNAcentral lists this ribosomal RNA (799 nucleotides) under uncultured bacterium. RNAcentral's name for it is "bacterial SSU rRNA". It matches the Rfam family "Bacterial small subunit ribosomal RNA", at positions 624 to 1422 of the family's 1533-position model. The record is from RNAcentral.
CAUUUGAAACUGUAUUACUUGAGUGCAGGAGAGGUAAGUGGAAUUCCUAGUGUAGCGGUGAAAUGCGUAGAUAUUAGGAGGAACACCAGUGGCGAAGGCGACUUACUGGACUGUAACUGACGCUGAGUCACGAAAGCGUGGGUAGCAAACAGGAUUAGAUACCCUGGUAGUCCACGCUGUAAACGAUGAGUGCUAGGUGUUGGGUAGCGAUAUUCAGUGCCGAAGUAAACACAAUAAGCACUCCGCCUGGGGAGUACGGUCGCAAGACUGAAACUCAAAGGAAUUGGACGGGGACCCGCACAAGCAGCGGAGCAUGUGGUUUAAUUCGAAGCAACGCGAAGAACCUUACCAAGGCUUGACAUCCCCUUGACCGGCACAGAGAUGUGCCCUCUCCUUCGGGAGCAAGGGUGACAGGUGGUGCAUGGUUGUCGUCAGCUCGUGUCGUGAGAUGUUGGGUUAAGUCCCGCAACGAGCGCAACCCUUAUCCUUAGUUGCCAGCAGGUUAAGCUGGGCACUCUAAGGAGACUGCCGAUGAUAAAUCGGAGGAAGGUGGGGAUGACGUCAAAUCAUCAUGCCCCUUAUGUCUAGGGCUACACACGUGCUACAAUGGUGAGAACAAAGAGACGCAAGACCGCGAGGUGGAGCCAAUCUCACAAAACUCAUCCCAGUUCGGAUUGCAGGCUGAAACUCGCCUGCAUGAAGCCGGAGUUGCUAGUAAUCGCGAAUCAGCAUGUCGCGGUGAAUACGUUCCCGGGCCUUGUACACACCGCCCGUCACACCAUGAGAGUUGGCAAUACCC